CUGGAAUACUUGAACUAC
RNAcentral lists this small nuclear RNA (18 nucleotides) under Arabidopsis thaliana (thale cress). RNAcentral's name for it is "snRNA_18796". The record is from RNAcentral. Lineage: Eukaryota; Viridiplantae; Streptophyta; Magnoliopsida; Brassicales; Brassicaceae.